UACAGAGACCUCAAGCGUUAUCCGGAUUUAUUGGGCGUAAAGGGUGCGUAGGCGGAUGUGAUAGUCAGAUGUCAAAUCACGAAGCUCAACUUCGUGGCUGCAUUUGAAACGUCACGUCUGGAGACAGGCAGAGGCAAGUGGAACUCAUGGUGUAGCAGUGAAAUGCGUUGAUAUCAUGGGGAACACCCAAGGCGAAGGCAUCUUGCUGGGCCUGUUCUGACGCUGAGGCACGAAAGCGUGGGUAGCGAAU
RNAcentral lists this ribosomal RNA (250 nucleotides) under uncultured bacterium. RNAcentral describes it as "partial 16S ribosomal RNA". It matches the Rfam family "Bacterial small subunit ribosomal RNA", at positions 524 to 773 of the family's 1533-position model. The record is from RNAcentral.